This 363-nucleotide unclassified non-coding RNA is filed under the name uncultured bacterium. Its description in RNAcentral is "contains 16S-23S intergenic spacer region". The record is from RNAcentral.
UCCCCGUUACCGGGGCAGUCUGGCUAGAAAAAUUCAACUAACCAUAAGGGUUGCGCUCGUUGAUGGACUUAACCAAACGUCUCACGACACGAGCUGACGACGGCCAUGCAACACCUGUCACUUGGCUCCCGAAGGCACUCUCGGCUUUCGCCAAAAUUCCAAGGAUGUCAAGUCUGGGUAAGGUUCUUCGCUUACCAUCGAAUUAAACAACACGCUCCACCGCUUGUGCGGGUCCCCGUCAAUUCCUUUGAGUUUUAGUCUUGCGACCGUACUCCCCAGGCGGAAUACUUAACGCGUUAGCUUCGCUACAUACCGGGUCGAUACGGCAUACAGCUAGUAUUCAUAGUUUACGGCGUGGACUAC